RNAcentral lists this transfer RNA (72 nucleotides) under Rhipicephalus microplus (southern cattle tick). RNAcentral describes it as "tRNA-Gln". It matches the Rfam family "tRNA". Rfam says of the family: Transfer RNA (tRNA) molecules are approximately 80 nucleotides in length. The record is from Rfam by way of RNAcentral. Lineage: Eukaryota; Metazoa; Arthropoda; Arachnida; Ixodida; Ixodidae.
GGUCUCAUGGUGUAACGGUUAGCACUCGGGUCUCUGAAUCCAGUGAUCCGAGUUCAAAUCUCGGUGAGACCU